UCACCAGACUCCUACGGGAGGCAGCAGUGAGGAAUAUUGGUCAAUGGCCGCAGGGCUGAACCAGCCAAGUCGCGUGAGGGAUGACGGCCCUACGGGUUGUAAACCUCUUUUGUCGGGGAGCAAAGAGAGUCACGUGUGGCUCAUUGAGAGUACCCGAAGAAAAAGCAUCGGCUAACUCCGUGCCAGCAGCCGCGGUAAUACGGAGGAUGCGAGCGUUAUCCGGAUUUAUUGGGUUUAAAGGGUGCGCAGGCGGAGGUGCAAGUCAGUGGUCAAAUUGCGGGGCUCAACCCCGUACUGCCGUUGAAACUGCAUCCCUUGAGUGCGCGAGAAGUAUGCGGAAUGCGUGGUGUAGCGGUGAAAUGCAUAGAUAUCACGCAGAACUCCGAUUGCGAAGGCAGCAUACCGGCGCGCAACUGACGCUCAUGCACGAAAGCGUGGGUAUCGAACAGGAUUAGAUACCCCAGUAAC
This 468-nucleotide ribosomal RNA is filed under the name uncultured bacterium. RNAcentral describes it as "bacterial SSU rRNA". It matches the Rfam family "Bacterial small subunit ribosomal RNA", at positions 328 to 795 of the family's 1533-position model. The record is from RNAcentral.